RNAcentral lists this ribosomal RNA (484 nucleotides) under uncultured bacterium. Its description in RNAcentral is "partial 16S ribosomal RNA". It matches the Rfam family "Bacterial small subunit ribosomal RNA", at positions 30 to 507 of the family's 1533-position model. The record is from RNAcentral.
AUUGAACGCUGGCGGCAGGCCUAACACAUGCAAGUCGAGCGGAUGAAGGGAGCUUGCUCCUGGAUUCAGCGGCGGACGGGUGAGUAAUGCCUAGGAAUCUGCCUGGUAGUGGGGGAUAACGUCCGGAAACGGGCGCUAAUACCGCAUACGUCCUGAGGGAGCAAGUGGGGGAUCUUCGGACCUCACGCUAUCAGAUGAGCCUAGGUCGGAUUAGCUAGGUGGUGGGGUAAAGGCCUACCAAGGCGACGAUCCGUAACUGGUCUGAGAGGAUGAUCAGUCACACUGGAACUGAGACACGGUCCAGACUCCUACGGGAGGCAGCAGUGGGGAAUAUUGGACAAUGGGCGAAAGCCUGAUCCAGCCAUGCCGCGUGUGUGAAGAAGGUCUUCGGAUUGUAAAGCACUUUAAGUUGGGAGGAAGGGCAGUAAGUUAAUACCUUGCUGUUUUGACGUUACCAACAGAAUAAGCACCGGCUAACUUCGUG